GUGAGGACUUUCUGAUCCUGGCUCAUUCAGCUAGGCCAUGCAGCGGUGCCACCGGAGAGUGACAGCCCAGGAGAAGGACAUCUAGUUGGACCUACGGAAAGAGGUUUCUAUGUGGAUUCCAAGGAAGUCACAAUGUGAGGGCCCACGAGUGAGCAGAUUAGUUUCAGCUGCCAUUCCAGUCUUGCCUGAGAUGGAGGAAUUAACCCACCCCAAAUCCGGAGUGUCACUGCAGUGGAGGAACAUCUUCAGUAUUACACUCUGGCAUAGCUGCAUGGAGACUGAUUUAUGGCUGUUGAGGAUAAGGUCCAUGGUGCUUGGUAAUCUGUGUCUGACUUGGUUUAUGCAUCUAAUUAUUAUCAAGGCUUUUGGAAGCCAUCCUUGGGUCCCUUACGUAUUUCAGUGCAGUCAUGAGUUUCUCCCCAGUGCAAUUGUAUAUCUUCAUGCAUCGUUCCUUUUUCUCUUGCCUUUCGGUUUUCUAAGAGAUCUUAGAGUUCCACAGCCAAGAAGAACAAGAAAGAUGAGGCCUAUUUUCCCCAUUCUUUGAUCUCUAAUAAAUUGGAGCCAGUAAAUUAUAUCUGCUAGCA
Molecule: long non-coding RNA, 584 nt
Filed under: Apteryx owenii (little spotted kiwi)
Lineage: Eukaryota; Metazoa; Chordata; Aves; Apterygiformes; Apterygidae
Description: lncRNA (ENSAOWG00000011946.1)
Source: RNAcentral